RNAcentral lists this ribosomal RNA (317 nucleotides) under uncultured Alphaproteobacteria bacterium. Its description in RNAcentral is "bacterial SSU rRNA". It matches the Rfam family "Bacterial small subunit ribosomal RNA", at positions 120 to 453 of the family's 1533-position model. Lineage: Bacteria; Pseudomonadati; Pseudomonadota; Alphaproteobacteria. The record is from RNAcentral.
GGGAUCUACCAUAGGGUGCGGAAUAACUCAGAGAAAUUUNAGGUAAUACCGCAUAAUGCCUUCGGNCCAAAGAUUUAUCGCCCUUUGAUGAACCCGCGUAAGAUUAGNUUGUUGGUGAGGUAAAGGCUCACCAAGUCGACGAUCUUUAGCUGGUUUGAGAGGAUGAUCAGCCACACUGGGACUGAGACACGGCCCAGACUCCUACGGGAGGCAGCAGUGGGGAAUAUUGGACAAUGGGCGNAAGCCUGAUCCAGCNAUGCCGCGUGAGUGAUGAAGGUCCUUAGGGUUGUAAAGCUCUUUUACCAGGGAUGAUAAUG